RNAcentral lists this ribosomal RNA (167 nucleotides) under uncultured Sphingobium sp. Its description in RNAcentral is "partial 16S ribosomal RNA". It matches the Rfam family "Bacterial small subunit ribosomal RNA", at positions 338 to 521 of the family's 1533-position model. Lineage: Bacteria; Pseudomonadati; Pseudomonadota; Alphaproteobacteria; Sphingomonadales; Sphingobiaceae. The record is from RNAcentral.
CCUACGGGAGGCAGCAGUAGGGAAUAUUGGACAAUGGGCGAAAGCCUGAUCCAGCAAUGCCGCGUGAGUGAUGAAGGCCUUAGGGUUGUAAAGCUCUUUUACCCGGGAUGAUAAUGACUGUACCGGAAGAAUAAGCCCCGGCCUAACUUCGUGCCAGCAGCCGCGGU